GGACUACCCGGGUAUCUAAUCCUGUUUGAUCCCCACGCUUUCGUGCCUCAGCGUCAGGAAAACCCCAGCCGGCUGUCUUCACCCUUGGCGUUCCGAUCGAUCUCUACGCAUUCCACCGCUCCACCGAUCGUUCUGCCGGCCUCUAGUUUCCUCGAGACGUGCAGUAUGCCCCGCGGUUCCCGGGUUGAGCCCGGGGCUUUCACGAGACACUUACACGCCCGCCUACGCACCCUUUAAGCCCAGUGAUUCCGACUAACGCUCGGGGCCUCUGUCUUACCGCGGCUGCUGGCAC
RNAcentral lists this ribosomal RNA (292 nucleotides) under uncultured bacterium. RNAcentral describes it as "partial 16S ribosomal RNA". The record is from RNAcentral.